GAUUAACGCUGGCGGCGUGCCUAACACAUGCAAGUCGAGCGGCAGCGAGUUUUACACUGAAUUCUGGAAGCUUCUAGUUGAAAGAGAAGAUUUAUUCAAGAAUUUUGUGUAAAAUGUCGGCGAGCGGCGGACGGCUGAGUAACGCGUGGGAACGUACCCCAAAGUGAGGGAUAACGCAUCGAAAGGUGUGCUAAUACCGCAUACGGUCUUCGGAUUAAAGCCUUCGGGCGCUUUGGGAACGGCCUGCGUAAGAUUAGAUAGUUGGUGGGGUAAUGGCCUACCAAGUCGACGAUCUUUAACUGGUUUGAGAGGAUGAUCAGUCAGACUGGAACUGAGACACGGUCCAGACUCCUACGGGAGGCAGCAGUGAGGAAUCUUCCACAAUGGGCGAAAGCCUGAUGGAGCAACGCCGCGUGCAGGAUGAAGGCCUUCGGGUUGUAAACUGCUUUUAUAAGUGAGGAUUAUGACAGUAACUUAUGAAUAAGGAUCGGCUAACUACGUG
This 502-nucleotide ribosomal RNA is filed under the name uncultured bacterium. Its description in RNAcentral is "partial 16S ribosomal RNA". It matches the Rfam family "Bacterial small subunit ribosomal RNA", at positions 28 to 507 of the family's 1533-position model. The record is from RNAcentral.